This is a long non-coding RNA of Drosophila serrata, 719 nucleotides long. RefSeq lists it as uncharacterized. The record is from RefSeq and is a predicted model, not a curated record. NCBI's taxonomy places the organism in Eukaryota, Metazoa, Arthropoda, Insecta, Diptera, Drosophilidae.
CUGACCGCCGCGAGAGCUUUAAUAAUAAACAAACACAAUCAUCUGUCGGCUGGCUGACCACAUGAGUUUAAUUUCUGUUUCAAAUGAUAAAAACAUAAUCACAUUACGUGUUUACCAGUUUCCCUUUUCGAUGAAGACAGCUCAGCAAUAUAAUAGUGGAAAAAAAUGGCAAAAUAAAACACUGGAAUAAAAAAACAAAAUUGGCAACUCUUGCCGCUGAGCUAUAGCUACCGGUCUAAGUUUUAUUUCAGUUAUCAAGCGUUAUACGAGUGUUGCUGGUGAUAUUGCAACAAUGGCGCAUUAAGCCGCCUUUUUGUUGCAGUUUGGGUCGAUUCCCAGAGCCCCAUACUUUCGGUCCCCAGUCCCAGUCACAGGCCCCGGAUGAUUAGGUAAUUGCUAGGAGCUCUAAGACAGCAUUACUUUCACUUUUUUCUCCAUUUUAGGGCUUGGAUGAUGGGUAAUCUUAACAAUGCGUACUAAUUUUGCAAUAAACUAAAUGUCGUAAAGCGAGAAACAGAGGACACACAGAGAUAAUGGCUGAAAAACACGGUCGAUCGUCGUCACAUAAUGAUGGAAAUGACAGAUCUGAAUACGAAUAUGGACAUUAGGCGGCGUUGCUGCCACCGUAUGGAAAAAAAGAAGACUAACAACGAAAACCACAAAUGAACGGCAGAAAAAGGUCAAUUUAAUAAUAAUAAUAAUAAUAGCAACAUAUAGUA